AACAUGUCUAGGAUCAGGUGAUGUAAUCUACAACAUGUCUAGGAUCAGGUGAUGUAAUCUACAACAUGUCUAGGAUCAGGUGGUGUAAUCUACAACAUGUCUAGGAUCAGGUGAUGUAAUCUACAACAUGUCUAGGAUCAGGUGAUGUAAUCUACACCAUGUCUAGGAUCAGGUGAUGUAAUCUACACCAUCAACAUGUCUAGGAUCAGGUGAUGUAAUGAACGUCAGAUAAAUGAACUAUACACUUCUUAUUACUCUUCAUCAUCAUCAUCAUCAUCAUCAUCAUCAUCAUCAUGGCACAGUACAAAGUCUGAGGAACAACACGGCCACAGAAAUAUACAAUAAAUGUCCUCAAUCACAAUGUCACAUUUUGUUUGAAGAUUUAAAAAUGUAACUAUGUCUUCUGGCAACAAAAAAAAAAAACACGAUAGUUUUACUCAGUGGUCAAAACAACAUCAAUAACUUCUCUCCUAAACCCUCUUCC
This is a non-coding RNA of Salmo salar (Atlantic salmon), 484 nucleotides long. The record is from RefSeq and is a predicted model, not a curated record. Lineage: Eukaryota; Metazoa; Chordata; Actinopteri; Salmoniformes; Salmonidae.